Molecule: unclassified non-coding RNA, 9008 nt
Filed under: Thrips palmi
Lineage: Eukaryota; Metazoa; Arthropoda; Insecta; Thysanoptera; Thripidae
Description: mucin-5AC-like, transcript variant X10
Source: RNAcentral
AGUCCCCGAUCAGCUUCGCCAGAACGCAUAGCAAAAGCAGGCCGCUCCCCCAGCAGCACAAGGAACGCCUGGACAAGGCUUGCACCGCGCACCGGCACCGGCCCGGCCCUCGGGCCCAACCUGGCACCCUCCUCCGACCCUCCCAGUGACCAAAACCGCCAUUUCCGUGAAACUCGUUCCGGGGAGCCACCGCCCCCGCUCGCCGGCGUUCCGCGUGUCUGCCACCGAAGCCAUACCACCCCAGUGAGCGGCCACCCACGCACUGCACCACCCGGACGGCGCGGCCCUAGGCCGGCCUGCAAUCAUCGAACUCGAACCCCUCGACCUCUGGAACCUGGAACCCAGAGGAGUUGGCAGCACUGCCGAACAAAGUGACAUUCGACUGAGGAUCCGACGCCCGGAGCACCACCGCCACCCCGUCCCAGGAAGUUGCCAACCCGCGCCAGCAAAAGGGGUGGCGGGGCCAAACCGUAACCAUGACGACGGAGGUGACGUCUGGCUCCGGAGGGGGCCAGGAGCUGCAGAUUAUCUCCAACGACGUGGGCGGGAUCCAAGAUGAAGACCUGCUGCGCAGAAUGUGGCAGCAAACCGAAGACUUCGGCCGCAAGAAAGAGAUUCGCGCCAGGAUGUACAAACUGCGCGAGCAGCGCCUCAAAGACUUCUACACGACCGGCGAGGUGCUGCGGGACCUGCAGACGGUGACGGACGCCGACGGCCACGCGGAGCGGCACCACCAGUCACAGCAGAUCAUCUCCAAGAAGACGGCCUCCUCCUUCUCGUCGAUGAAGGAGGGCGGCGAGAUGAUGCGUUCGCACACCGAGUCCAUCCAGGGUCAGGGCGGCUACACGUCGCUCAAGUCGAAGGAGGUGCGCGACUCGGAGUCCCCGACCCGCGACCUGCACCGCCGCCAGCAGGACUACGCCCUGAGCACCUCCGCGACGACGGGCGGCACCGGCACCUGGAAGGUGGUCCGGGAGUCGUCCUCCGCGGCCUAUGACUCGGCCAACGACCUGGGCGUGGUCACCACCAGCAGCAGGACCGAGAAGGGCGGCACCGUCGCCGUCCCGGCCGGCCAGGCCGCCCUGGUGGCGCCGUCUGGCAUGCAGCUGGUGGACUCCGGCGAGACCGUGAUCCACAACGCGGACGGCAGCAUCACUCGCCGCCAGUCCGCCACGUACAAGACAUCCAGCACCGCCACCAGCAGCAGCAGCCAGCAGCAGCAGCGCGCCGUCAGCUCGUCCACGACCUCCAGCUCCAAGGCCGUCACCACCACCAAGUCGUCGACGACGUCCAGCAGCGACCAGCCUGGAGUCGUCAUCAAGGAGAUCAGCUCCACCUCGUCCGCGGACCAGAAGACGAAGGGCGACGCGACGCAGAGGGUGUCCACCACCACGACGUCCAGCAGCGGCAGCCGAGUGGAGCAGCAGGCAGGCGUGGACCAGCGCAUCAUGACGGAGAUCGGGAAGCUGGACUCGUACUUGUCCACGCAGAACGCGACUGGGUCCACCAACACCCCCGUGAGCCCGCGCAGCGUGUGUUCGGAAGCCCCCGGCGCGGCGCCAGCCGUGCAAGCCAAGAGCGAGUUCGUGUUCGAAUCGAGUUCGUCCACCACGGCGACGUCCGCCGCCACCAAGGAGAGCAACAGACUGAGCAGCACCGCCACGACGGCUACCUCCACCGUGACAGCCACCACCGACCUGGACGCGACGCCGCAGCCAAAGUAUGCCGCCGCGAACGGCGACGUGCAGAAGACGGCGACCACCGUCAUCGAGCAGCGCACGACCACCACACUAGAAAGCGACAAACGAACGAACGACUCGACCAGCCAGCACCAGCGGCCCAGCAGCCAACCCAAGUCGCAGCCGCAGAGGCCGCGCACCGAGGUGGACGCGGACCAGUACGUGACAACUUACGCGUCCUCCUACAACAGCAAGCGCAUCAGCGAGGACCUCAGCCCCACGCACCAGUACUUCGCGAGCGCGCUGCGCGCCAGCCCCGCGCCCAGCUCGGCACGCGCCACACCCACACGCGCCCUCGACUCCCGGGGCUCGGUGGACCGUGAGGCCACCACGUCGUCGCGGCCCUCUUCACGACCGUCGUCACCGAGGAAGAGCAGUCGGGGUGCGACGCCGGACAGUAACAGGGCGUCGCCGUGCAAAGACAAACCGCGAGGACCCUCUCCGACCAAGUCCGUCACGACCAGCUUCGACUCGUCGACCAUCAGGCGCAGCAGCAGCACCAGCAAGGACAAGCGCCGCUUCACGUCCAGCGCGUCUCGCGCCGCCACGAAGAAGCGCUCCGGCACGCCCGGCGCCUCGCCCCGCGCGAGCCCCACCCGGGAGGGCACCAGGCCGCGGUCCAGGUCCCCCACGUCCAGCACGGCGGACGACAGCGACGCCUGCCUCUCGACCGCGGGUCGCCGCCGAAGCAACAGCAAGACGUCCGUGUCGUCGUCGGCCACCUGGACGCACGAACUCGCCCGCAAGUCGUCGUCGGAGACCCUCAAGGGGGGUUCCACGAGCAAGGAGACGUCGCCGGUGCGCGACGUGCCCUCCAAGCCGCAGCCCUCGGCGUCCUUCACGCCGUCCGCCCCGUACAAGCGGGAGAAGUCACCGGAGUACAGCUCCGACGGUUCGCUGGCCAGCGAACUGUUCCAGCGCGCGGAGCGCGGUGAGAAGAAGGACGCCACCAGCCCCGACCGCUUCACCCCCAUCAAGUGCUUCCGGACCAUUCCCGAGGGCGGCGUGCUCGAGCCCAAGAAGGACUCGGAGGUCGUGACCAAGCAGACGGAGACCGCCAUGUUCAUCCGCGAGGAAGCCCGCCGCACCGCGCCGACAGUGUCACCGUCGCGGACCUCACCGCCCCGACGCACACCCACCAGAGAGCCACAGUCGUCCAGCAUCUCGCCUUGCACCAGCCCCGAACGCUCGCCGGUACGCCCCGCCACCGCCCCGCCCUCCAGGCCGGGAGCGGUAGCACAGCGGCCAGCGGGGCCUUCUGCAGCCCCAACCAGGGCAUCCCCGCGUACACCUACUAGCAGCCCGGAGCGCUCGCCUAUUCGCAAACCCGCGGCCGCGGCGCCAGCAUCGCCGUCAAAGAAGCCGACGAGGGUGACCAGCAUCCCCAGGGCGGCGGGCCAGCGGACCCAUCCUGUCGGCAAGCCCACGCAGCGGCCGCGCGACGCGUCCGCGCCCGUCACGCCCUCCAGGAAGGUGCCCGGCCAGAGGCGGUCGUCGUCGUCCAGCCCGGAGCGGCCCAGGUCCACGGCAGGGCGGCCCGCGGGGAAGCGCCCCGUAGACACGCGCACGCCGUCGACAUCCUCCCUGCCCGCCACCAAGAGGCCCUUCGCAGACAAGACCAACGUGCGCACUCCGAACGUGCGCGUCCCUGCACCGAGCCCCAGUCCCGCCAGGCCCGCCGCCAAGCCGGCUCAGCCCUUGCCGUCCAAGUCGGCCUUCGUGAGGACAACCCCGCGACCAGAGGACGCCGACAAGGACAAGCCCAGAGGCCACACGAGGACACCGUCGUCGCACCGGCUGUACGGCGGCAUGUCCCAGGAGGUGUGCGGCGCCUGCCACCUCAAGCUGGGCGCCGAGAAGGACACCGUCCAGUGCACGGCGGAGUGCAAGCGCAAGUUCCACGUGCGAUGCGUGGCGAGCGGUGAGGACAUCAAGCUGGUCAAGCUCAAGAAGAACUGGCGUUGCGUGCGCUGCGGUGGAGACUCCAUCAAGACGACCUCCAGCACAACAAAGAAGACGACCACCAUAACUAAGACGUUGACCAGACGGCGGUCGUCUGACGGGAGUCGCAAGCGCGUCCCCUUUCUCGCCGACUCGGGCGCAGAGAGUGACCGCUCGUCCGCGGCCAGCCCGCCUCUGCGGCCCAGCGGCGUGGCCCUGACGGACAUCAAGACCACCACCACGUCCAACAAGAGGGAGUCCAAGGACCGCAUCGACCUGAGCGCACUGUGCGGCGUGGUCAAGGACAAGACCAUCUCCACGGGCGACUACUACAGUGACCUGGAGAACGAAGCGCCCCCUGAAGAGUUUCUUGUCGACGAUGACGAUGACGACAUCGACCUGACGUCCACCACCAAGCAGACGACGAAGACGAGCAGCAAGCGUGAGCAGAACGAGGCGUUCCUGGAGGGCGAGCGGCGCGGGACGAGGCAGGAGUCCCGACUGGACAGCCUGACGCGCACCAACAGCGACAGGAACGUCGUCAAGAAGCAGCCCGCCCCCACGCCCAAGCGGCAGUCCUCGAAGCCUGAGCUGGUCACGGGCACCACGACGACGACCACCAGCACGAGCACGUCCAGGAUCUACGGUGGCACCGUGCUUGAGGUGUGCGGCGCCUGCCACCUGAAGCUGGGCGCCGAGAAGGAUACCGUCCAGUGCACGGCGGAGUGCAAGCGCAAGUUCCACGUGCGCUGCGUGGCGAGCGGUGAGGAGAUCAAGCUGAUCAAGCUCAAGAAGAACUGGCGCUGCGUGCGUUGUGGAGGCACCACAGAGCAGACCAAGAAGACCGUCGAGAAGGACAAUUCUCGCAGCAAGCUCACCGUCAAGGUGGACAAGGUGUCGGGGAAGCAGAACGCCACCAGCGAAAGGCGUGGCAGCAGCAGCACGACCACCACGACGGUGACGUCCUCCACCAACCAGACCUCCAUGACCAACGGGCACCACCGGCGCGAGGAGUCAUUCACUUCGGGCGACGAGACAGACGUGCCGAACGCGGACCAGACGGACACCCCCACCGGCGUGGACGCCUACAUGUGGGAGCUGGAGGACAUGCGUCGCCGGCAAGAGGAGCAGUACGCGCGCAAGGUGACGGACAAGGAGAACGUGCUCCUCAACGCCACCAUUCACGUGCAGCUGCCCAAGUCCUCGCGGGAGUCCUCUCCGGACGGGCGGCCCGGCGGGCGCGCCCCCUCCGUGUGCACGGCCGGUGAUGAGUCGGACAGCAGCCGGCCGCGCUACGCGGACCGCGUCAGCGAGCCGGGGUCGGACGAGGAGGGCCCCGGGCCGCGGCAGGGCUCCGUCAACAAGCUGCCCCAGCUGGACGAGCGCAGGUCCAGCGAGCAGCGGGAACUGGAGAACAACGAGGACGACGAGAACGACGUGGCGAACCUCAGUGUGUCGGACAAGGUGAAUCGCUUCAUGGAGAGCUCCCGCACGCUGUCCAUCUCGGAGCUGAAGACGCCGCACCGGCCGGCCCCGGCCACCGACAGCCCCGGCAACGUGAGCAAGGCGAAGGCCAUGUUCGAGACCAUCGCCAGCGGCCAGACCGUCACGGAGAAGCUCGAGACGCAGGAGGAGCACGAGUCGCAGCAGAGCGCGGACGCCACGACCAGGCAGAGGGACGUGCUGAGCCGCCCGUCGAUCUUCGAGGGCCGCAAGGUGCUGACGGAGACCACGGUGGAGACCACCACCACCACGGCCACCGCGCCAGUGCUGCCGCCAGGCGUCACCAUCGCCAAGGACACGAUCCCUAGGAAGCGCUCCCCGUCCCCCGAGCCACCUAGCUUCGCCCUUACCUUCAGCCCGAAGCCCGUCGCCGAGCCACAGCCCUCGGCUCCGCAGCCCGCACGCCUCAACGGCCACACGACACCCGUGCGUCAGGACUCGCUGCCGAAGGACAUCAAGACCGCCCCGAAGAAGCCAGACGCCAGCAGCCCCGCCCGCAGAGACUCUGUGCGCAGGGAGCUCUUCCCCGACACCAGCAAGAAGACGACCUCCACGACCAAGACGGCGACGUCCUUCUUAGACGGCGAGCGCCGCAGCUCCCUGCAGCAGCGGACGGACACGAGCUCUACCAUCAAAACGACAUCGUCGACCUCGUCCUCACGCACCGCGUCCCCUGUCAAGGACGUCGCGAGCAAGGCGUCGUCGCCAACCCGGUCCCCGGCCAGGUCACCGUCGCCGCAGCGCAGCCAGCCCAAGCAGAUCGACAUCCUGAGCAGACCGUCCAUUUUCCAAGGCCGUAAGAUGAUGGCCGCGGCCAAGGAUUCUACAACCUCCACGACCACCACCACGUCUAGCACGGCGACGACCCUCCCGGAGCAGCCCAAGAGCCCCACCAGGCCGAAGGCCUCCUCGCUGGACCGGCCCACGGAGAGCAGCCUGGCGCGCGGCACCAAGUUCGGCGUGCACCUCCGCAGCACCGCGACCACGGCCUCCACCGCGUCCACCACGACCAAGGCGGCGGAGCAACGCCGGGGCAGCGCCGUCUUCCUGGACGGCCAAGAGGUGGACAUCGAGGAGGUGUACGACCUCGAGUUCCUCGAGACCAUCUUGGAGCGAGUAGUGGGCUACGAGCAGCGCCGCCGCAUCCGCACCCAAAUUCGCAAGGCCAAGGAGCGGCUGGAGGGAACCGUGCAGGCGGAGCAGGUCCUGAGCAAGGACAAGCAGGUGAAGCAGGACGGCCGCACCACGUCCACCACGACGACCACCUCCAGCAAGUCGGGCAACACGGUCACGGAGAAGGUGACGACCACCACCACGACCAAGUCACCCACCAGCAAGGUCGUCACCACCCGGGUCACCACCACGUCCAGCACGACCAGCGGCACCAGGUCGCCGACCAAGGGUCUUUCCUCGACUUCGCCGACGCGGUCCUCCCCGUCACGGUCGUCCCCGGAACGGUCUCCGAGCCGCUCCCCUGAACGGUCCUCCACUAGAAAGUCUUCCACGUCGUCGACGUCCAAGGCCAGAGACACGACCGACUUCCGCCGCUCGUCCACGUCGUCUACCACCACCACCAGCAUGACGACCAAGACGAGCUCCAGCAGCAGCGCCGGCCGCACCAAGUCGCCGGCCUCGACGCCCGGGCGCCUGGCGGGCCGUGAGUCGGCCAGGGAGGCCUGCCCGACAGACUCCAUCACGUCGAGCUACGGCGUGGGCCCCACGGACGACAGGGGCAGGCCGCUGUUCGGCCUCAAGGCCCUGCGCCGCACCAACACGAACCGUACGCUGCAGGACGCCGAGCCCACCGCCGAGGCCCCGAAGCAGGCGACGACCGCCGCGUCGACGAGACCGCGCGCUGCGGACAUCACCGACUCCACCGGCCUGCCGCUCUUCGGCGGCCUGCGCGCGCUCAAGAUGAACAGCACCACGAGCUCCACCACCACGUCGAGCACGGUGGACCACCGGAACGGCCUGAACGGCCACGCCGGCCCCGCCUCGCCGCCGCUGCGUGACCUGGUGCAGCGCCACGAGGACCUUUCCCGAGAGUCGUUCCUCGACUCGCGGCGCGGCAUCCUGAAGAAGCCCAGGGAGGAGAGCACCUCCUCGUCGUACUCGCGCUCGACCGUCGUCAGCCAGCGGCAGGUCGUGGCCCCCGACGGCACCGUCUCUCUUACCAGGGACGUCAUCCGAGGCGAGACUGUCGCCAAGUCCGGGCAGGAGCCCGUCACCAACGUCUCCCGUGAACACUAUGCUUAUGAAUCUCCUGAACCGAGGACCCUGUCAAUCACCCAGCUUGACAGCGAGGAAGAGGAGGUUCGUGGAAGCAGGAGGAGUUCACCGUCGCCCGACCGCGUCCUCAUCGAGUCCGCUCAAAGCUCCAAGAGGUCAUCUCGAAACUUUGAAGAGGACAACAAAUUUAGCAGCUCCUACCGCAGAACGUCCGGCCAGGAUGAGUUCAUCCGGCAGGAGAAAGGCCACUCCGCCCAGGCGGCCCCCAACGGCGACGAGGCGGACAGCCGCGCUGCCGACAAGGUGGCCAGGCAGGGGUCCGGCCGAUGGUCCAACACGGUGACCAGCAAGAAGACUGAGGGCGGUGCCACCACCCACUCCACCACCACGACCACGAAGGAGCGCCGCGCGUCGGGCGGGGUCACGUCUGAGUCGACGUCCGUCUCCACCAAGAGCACUACCUCUAGCCACAGUUCAUCCCCCACACGAAAUGAGAAAUCUCCCAGCAGAGAUUCAGCGAAAAAGCAAACGAGUGAUAAAUGGUCUUCGGGCAGCACCACGGAAUCGAAAUCCUCGAAUCGGUUCUCGUCGCGCACUUCGACCUCUCGAACCAGUAGCUCUUCCAAUCUCGAACGACGACGGUCCUCUGCCGCUGAGGACGUGGCCGAAGAAGGGUCCAGCGCCUGCAGCUUGAUCAGGACCUCGCAGCGGGGCUCGGUGCGAGCUCUGCAGGAGAAGUUCCAGAAGGCAGCAGCCGAGAGCGCUGACAGCACCCGAUCAAACCGCUCUUACCCCAAGGCGGGGCUAAUCUUCCGCUCAGCCAGCUUCCGCUCAAACAGUGGAGAAGGCUCGGCGCCUGCCACCCCGACCUCGCCAAACCAGCCGAGUGCGCCGUCCACGCCGGAAGCGGGUCCGAACCCGACCCUCAAGCAGUCGGCCUCCAUGGAGGUGCGCGUCGGCUCCCCGGUGGCGUCGCCCCUGCCGUCCACGCCGGGCAGCACCGCCACCGAGUCCAGGUCCUUCCUCAACGACCGCACCGCCGUGACCGACGUCCAGGACGUCCUCACCAGGAUGCGCAACGCCGACAUUGUGGUGGAGAACGGGGACAGCGCGGAGGACCAAGCGGCCCGGUCGCUACUCAACAAGUUCCUAGGCGCGUCUGUGAUCCUGCAGGGCAUGGAGCCCCUCGUCGGCGACAAGCACACGGCCGCCUCGUCGACCUCCACCAGCAGCGCCCGGCGCACCAUCGUUGGCGGUGGCGGCACCACCUCGGCCGCGCUCGUCAGCCAGGUGGAGCGGCAGCGGCUUAGCGGCGCCAAGGUCAUCAACGGAGCGGCGAAGGACCCCAUCUCAGACUUGGACUCCAUCUGGGACGAAGGUCACUUACGGACUUUGGAAAGAGCGAGUCAUUUAAAAGUUCUACCUCAACUGACGCCAAUAGCACAACUCAUACAGAAGUGAGGACAAAGACGUCUCAUUUCAGCUCAACGAGCAGCAUGGCUACUAACAAAGGUGGACCCCCUAAGCCCAUCUCCCCAUUUGCCAAAUUCCAGCAGCUGGAUCGUCAGAAUUCAGCAGCUUCAGCUCCCAGGUAAU